GCUCCGGUGGCAUAGCGGUUAGAGCGUCCGCCUCGGAUGUGGGAGGUCUUGGCAUUGAAUCCCGACUGAGUCA
Molecule: non-coding RNA, 73 nt
Organism: Potamilus streckersoni
Lineage: Eukaryota; Metazoa; Mollusca; Bivalvia; Unionida; Unionidae
Source: the annotation of a GenBank genome assembly